Triticum aestivum (bread wheat) is the source of this 209-nucleotide long non-coding RNA. RefSeq lists it as uncharacterized. The transcript is spliced from 3 exons. NCBI's taxonomy places the organism in Eukaryota, Viridiplantae, Streptophyta, Magnoliopsida, Poales, Poaceae. The record is from RefSeq and is a predicted model, not a curated record.
GAUGGAUAUGCAUCGUGUGCUCGGGAGGCACGUCGCCGUCGACAAGAAAUCUGUAUGGGAAAGCGACCUGUUGACUGUACUCAGGGUGUAUAUUCGUUUACUUCCUCCAAUGGUGUACCAUCACUUCCAAUUUCUGAUUCUCAUUUUGGCCAAUUGAAUGACAGUGAUGGUGUUGAGAUUGGUGUCCAGGUGGUUGAGACAGUUGGUUG